RNAcentral lists this ribosomal RNA (464 nucleotides) under Vreelandella stevensii. RNAcentral describes it as "partial 16S ribosomal RNA". It matches the Rfam family "Bacterial small subunit ribosomal RNA", at positions 338 to 795 of the family's 1533-position model. The record is from RNAcentral. Lineage: Bacteria; Pseudomonadati; Pseudomonadota; Gammaproteobacteria; Oceanospirillales; Halomonadaceae.
CCUACGGGAGGCUGCAGUGGGGAAUAUUGGACAAUGGGCGAAAGCCUGAUCCAGCCAUGCCGCGUGUGUGAAGAAGGCCUUCGGGUUGUAAAGCACUUUCAGUGGGGAAGAAAGCCUUGGGGCUAAUACCCUCGAGGAAGGACAUCACCCACAGAAGAAGCACCGGCUAACUCCGUGCCAGCAGCCGCGGUAAUACGGAGGGUGCGAGCGUUAAUCGGAAUUACUGGGCGUAAAGCGCGCGUAGGCGGUCUGAUAAGCCGGUUGGGAAAGCCCCGGGCUCAACCUGGGAACGGCAUCCGGAACUGUCAGGCUAGAGUGCAGGAGAGGAAGGUAGAAUUCCCGGUGUAGCGGUGAAAUGCGUAGAGAUCGGGAGGAAUACCAGUGGCGAAGGCGGCCUUCUGGACUGACACUGACGCUGAGGUGCGAAAGCGUGGGUAGCAAACAGGAUUAGAUACCCCAGUGUC